RNAcentral lists this long non-coding RNA (531 nucleotides) under Heterocephalus glaber (naked mole-rat). RNAcentral's name for it is "lncRNA (ENSHGLG00000050074.1)". The record is from RNAcentral. Lineage: Eukaryota; Metazoa; Chordata; Mammalia; Rodentia; Bathyergidae.
GUGAGGGUUAUUUCACGUUUCUCCAUUCGGAUUUGCACUAUUUUCUGAGUUUGGCUGGGCGCCGCGUGCUAAGUUGCACAAGUCUCUCAUCUUCCCCAAGCCUCACUUUUCUCGUCUGUGAAAUGGGAUAAUCACACACCUGAGAGGAGGAAACAUCGCGGAGAUGACGUCACCUCGAAGCCACAUUACAGGUUGGCCAUUGCCGCUGUCCCCACCGCAGGAAGCAGACACUGAGAUCAAGUUGCUUGUGUGACAUCAAAGAGCAAUGAGUGACCUUGUUCUCUGGACCACAUUACUAGGAAAGCACCGAGGUGGGACCGGGAUAAUCAGAAAGGCUUCCCCGGAGGAGGUGACUUUAAUUCGGGUUUCAAUGACUGAAUAGGAGUUCUGAAAUUUAAGGAGUAAAUAAUGGAACCAAAGAGAAGUCCAUAAACCAAAGCAUAAGGGGCUAGAAGAGCCCAGCAAGGACUUUCCCAGUCCAUCCGGAGCACCCAGGUGGGCAUCGUGCCGCUAUUUGACAGAAGAGGCCAG